CCAGACUCCUACGGGAGGCAGCAGUGGGGGAUAUUGCACAAUGGGGGGAACCCUGAUGCAGCGACGCCGCGUGGGCGAUGGAGCGCCUCGGCGCGUAAAGCCCUAUCAGCAGGGAAGAAGAUGACGGUACCUGACUAAGAAGCCCCGGCUAAAUACGUGCCAGCAGCCGCGGUAAUACGUAUGGGGCAAGCGUUAUCCGGAUUUACUGGGUGUAAAGGGGGCGCAGACGGCAGCGCAAGCCAGGAGUGAAAGCCCGGGGCCCAACCCCGGGACUGCUCUUGGAACUGCGCGGCUGGAGUGCAGGAGGGGCAGGCGGAAUUCCUGGUGUAGCGGUGAAAUGCGUAGAUAUCAGGAGGAACACCGGUGGCGAAGGCGGCCUGCUGGACUGCGACUGACGUUGAGGCCCGAAAGCGUGGGGAGCAAACAGGAUUAGAUACCCGGGUAGA
RNAcentral lists this ribosomal RNA (446 nucleotides) under uncultured bacterium. RNAcentral describes it as "partial 16S ribosomal RNA". It matches the Rfam family "Bacterial small subunit ribosomal RNA", at positions 331 to 794 of the family's 1533-position model. The record is from RNAcentral.